Molecule: non-coding RNA, 558 nt
Organism: Passer montanus (Eurasian tree sparrow)
Lineage: Eukaryota; Metazoa; Chordata; Aves; Passeriformes; Passeridae
Source: the annotation of a RefSeq genome assembly
AUGGUGAAACUGCCAAAAUCAAACCCGGACCCUCGGCAGAGGAGGCGCAGGGACCCCCCGGGGGGCUGGAGGUCCCUGCGGCACAAAGGGGAGAUGGGGAUGAGGGGAUGGAUGGGCUGGCUCCGGGCGGCCGUGACCCUGCUGGAGUCCGGGGGGGACCUCCAGCCCCCCGGGGGGUCCCUGCGCCUCCUCUGCCGAGGGGCUGGCUUCGAUUUUGGGAAGUUUGCCAUGUUCUGGAUCCGCCAGAGACCCGGGCAGGCGCUGGAGUGGGUUGCCAGUAUCAGCAGGAGCAGUGGCAGCACCGGCUACGCGGACUCGGUCAAAGGACGUUUCACGAUGGCGAGCGACAACGGGCAGAGCUCGGUGACGCUGACCAUGAACAACCUCCGGGACGAGGAUUCCGGAUCCUAUUUCUGUGCCAAAUCUGCUGGUGCUAAUGCCGCUCUUACUGGUAAUUGUGUGGGCCCCGGCCCCUUUGUCAUGUCCCCACCAGUCCCCAUGUCUCAGACCCUUUCCCCAACCCUUGACCCCAUCCUUGCCCCCAUAUCCCAAAGCUAG